CUGUCUCAAGCCAACUCUCAUGAAGAGAGAUAUAACUCUCUUGAAGCCAACUUGAAGAAUGAAGAGACUCAAGACCUUUGCGCUGUUGAUUUGCUGGAUUAGCUUUCUGUUAAGUGUUUAGGUUUAAAAAAGGUGCAUCAUUUAGAAUGAUCGAGGCUCCUUUUUUUUAAACUGAAUAGGGAAUAACUAAAAGCUGUUAGUCAACUGCUUAGUCAUCGUGCUCCACUGAACUUCAUUCACCGUAGGUUAACCAGUCAUAGACUAGCGGUGGAUGCUAACUUGCUAAUGUCAAUGAAAUCUGUUGGACCGCUGAAGAAAUGUCUACCAGAGACUGGAGCAGGAGGUGCAUUCGGAGUUGUUUUAACACACGGAAUGCGUUGACAUUUGUGACUCUAUCGGCUGUUGUUGUGGGUGUUGCUAUUGGCUUGGUUUUGAAGACCUUUACAACUCUUACAUUGUACGAAAGAGCUUGGCUUCGCAUUCCCGGAGAAUUUCUUUUCCGGCUGAUGCAGUUUGUUACUGUCCCUCUGCUGAUGACAAAUGUGAUACUCGGAAUUGCUGGUGCCACUCUCAGUCCCUCCAAAAAGAUCACUAGAUGUGCAUUAACAUACUUUGGCUUUACAACAAUAAUCUCUUUGCUAAUAGGAAUCACCCUGACAAUGCUGAUCAAACCAGGGAUCACUGCAAAUCCCGAAAAAUCAGAUGAAGUUACUGACUUUGAUGAUGCCUACAACACCAUUGAUGCCCUGUCUGAUCUAAUAAGAAACCUCAUUCCACACAAUCUGAUUCUGCUGAGCUACAAACAGUACAAGACUAGGAAGGUGUAUAUAAAUGCACAGACGGUCAACGGUACCCUUCCGGAAAAUCAAGACGUGCAGUUAGUAGGCGAAAACAUGCGAGGGGUUAACAUGCUCGGAUUGAUAGUGGUGUCAGUUUUCAUUGGGAAGAGCAUUAGGAAGAUUGGAGCUGUGGGCGGAACCUUUCUGGAGGUCAUCAACACCGUCAACAUUGUCUCCAAAAGUUUGGUGAAAAUAAUAAUGAUCUAUUUUCCCAUUGCAGUGAUGUUCAUGAUGGCAAGCUAUGUUCAUACCAUUGCAGACGACUGGCAGACUGUUGUUAGCCUUGGAAAGUUCAUCACCGUAAUUGUUACUGGACUUCUCAUCCAUGGUUUUUUGGUGUUGCCACUCAUCUGCUUCUUGUGCAUGAGAAGGAACCCCUACCCGAUCUUUCCAGGGAUUGCACCUGCAUUGCUAAGGGGGAUGCUCGUUUCACGCUCUUAUGCGGCAUCAGAGACUUUCAGUUGUUGCGAAGAUAGACUGAGGAUCAACAAAAGAAUAACUCGCUUCAUGCUGCUCAUUGGGAUCCACGCCAAUAUGGAUGGAACGGUCCUUUAUGAGAUGGCUGCUGCCCUGUUCAUUGCUCAACUCUCAGGCUCCAGGUUGCACUGGAGCAAGAUCAUCAGCAUUGCUGUGACGGUGGCAGUGGCCACUCUUGGAGAGGCAGGAAUCCCCGCUACAGGAAUGAUGACCACCCUCUUUAUUUUGACCAUCAGCGGGAUUCCAGUGAGACCUGCCUCCCUUUUGCUCUCCAUUGAAUGGCUGCUAGAUCGCCUCAAUGCCGCUGUCAAUAUCAUGAGCGACUGUUUUGGUGUCUUUCUCGUUGCUAAUGUGUCAGAAGGAGAACUGAAAAAAAUGGAAGAGGAGAUGCCUUAUGAGCAUCUACCAGAACCGUGGAAGCCACCAGAGGAGCUUGCUUAAACAGCAGCCCUUAGCAGUCCUCAACAACGACACGAUUGUUGACAGUUGUAAAGAUGAAGCGAUGGACUUCAGCAUUUCUAUUUUUUGUGCCAUUUUAUCACCUUUUGCCUCUUAUUUGACAGUAAUCCAACAGAAGGAGGUUGAGAGAAGUGGGGGAAGACAUGCUGCAAAGGAACUGAGGAAAGGAGUUGAACUUGGGACUUCCACAUAUAUGUAGCCUCUCCGCAUGAGGCGCCUGCUCUAACCGCUGCGCCACACGAUGCCCCUGUGAUAUGUAUGUUUCUCCAUCUAUGCUGUAUGUUAUAUGUAGCAAUUUGUUCAGAAGUGAGGUGUCUAUAUGGAUCUUGUAAUUAUCAAUAAAGUGUAGAAACUAUCA
RNA transcript from Xiphophorus couchianus (Monterrey platyfish), 2133 nucleotides. It is a transcript of the gene named excitatory amino acid transporter 3-like, with no coding region annotated. The transcript is spliced from 15 exons. The record is from RefSeq and is a predicted model, not a curated record. NCBI's taxonomy places the organism in Eukaryota, Metazoa, Chordata, Actinopteri, Cyprinodontiformes, Poeciliidae.